RNAcentral lists this ribosomal RNA (468 nucleotides) under uncultured bacterium. RNAcentral describes it as "partial 16S ribosomal RNA". It matches the Rfam family "Bacterial small subunit ribosomal RNA", at positions 28 to 507 of the family's 1533-position model. The record is from RNAcentral.
GACGAACGCUGGCGGCGUGCUUAACACAUGCAAGUCGAACGGAAAGGCCCUGCUUUUGUGGGGUGCUCGAGUGGCGAACGGGUGAGUAACACGUGAGUAACCUGCCCUUGACUUUGGGAUAACUUCAGGAAACUGGGGCUAAUACCGGAUAGGAGCUCCUGCUGCAUGGUGGGGGUUGGAAAGUUUCGGCGGUGGGGGAUGGACUCGCGGCUUAUCAGCUUGUUGGUGGGGUAGUGGCUUACCAAGGCUUUGACGGGUAGCCGGCCUGAGCGGGGGACCGGCCACAUUGGGACUGAGGUACGGCCCAGACUCCUACGGGAGGCAGCAGUAGGGAAUAUUGCACAAUGGGCGGAAGCCUGAUGCAGCAACGCUGCGUGCGGGAUGACGGCCUUCGGGUUGUAAACCGCUUUCGCCUGUGACGAAGCGUGAGUGACGGUAAUGGGUAAAGAAGCACCGGCUAACUACGUG